Molecule: ribosomal RNA, 253 nt
Filed under: uncultured bacterium
Lineage: Bacteria
Description: partial 16S ribosomal RNA
Rfam family: Bacterial small subunit ribosomal RNA
Source: RNAcentral
UACGGAGGGAGCUAGCGUUGUUCGGAAUUACUGGGCGUAAAGCGCGCGUAGGCGGCUUUGUAAGUUAGAGGUGAAAGCCCGGGGCUCAACCCCGGAACUGCCUUUAAGACUGCUUCGCUUGACUCCGGGAGAGGUGAGUGGAAUUCCGAGUGUAGAGGUGAAAUUCGUAGAUAUUCGGAAGAACACCAGUGGCGAAGGCGGCUCACUGGACCGGUAUUGACGCUGAUGUGCGAAAGCGUGGGGAGCAAACAGG